UACGAAGGGGGCUAGCGUUGCCCGGAAUUAUUGGGCGUAAAGAGCUCGUAGGCGGCUUGUCGCGUCGUCCGUGAAAACUUGGGGCUCAACCCCAAGCUUGCGGUCGAUACGGGCAGGCUCGAGUUCGGUAGGGGAGACUGGAAUUCCUGGUGUAGCGGUGAAAUGCGCAGAUAUCAGGAGGAACACCGGUGGCGAAGGCGGGUCUCUGGGCCGAUACUGACGCUGAGGAGCGAAAGCGUGGGGAGCGAACAGG
This 253-nucleotide ribosomal RNA is filed under the name uncultured bacterium. RNAcentral describes it as "partial 16S ribosomal RNA". It matches the Rfam family "Bacterial small subunit ribosomal RNA", at positions 524 to 776 of the family's 1533-position model. The record is from RNAcentral.